This is a long non-coding RNA of Oncorhynchus tshawytscha (Chinook salmon), 1082 nucleotides long. Lineage: Eukaryota; Metazoa; Chordata; Actinopteri; Salmoniformes; Salmonidae. The record is from Ensembl.
GUUAAGUUACAAGGUUCGGUAUGGGUUAAGGUUAGGGACUAGAGCUCUUCACGGAUCCACCUGUACCCAAGACCCGAAUGUCAUCUUUUAGAAGAAAACAAGCUACGCUGUUUACAGAGACCUGACCAGAGGCAUGAUAGCAUGUACACUCCUGGAAAACAGAAUGGAAAAUGCUGCACACUGCUGCUCAUGCUCCCAGGUCACAGAUGGUACCAGAUAUGUGACUGGUAGCAGGCUUGCUGACAGAGAACAAAUUAAGUUUGUGGUCUUACCUGCAAAAGUUUGGGAAGAUCACAAAAGAGAUGACACCAGCUCAUCGUGUUGACACCCUCAUUGAUUCCCUCCUCUAUUACUUAGCCAGGGUCAGGGCAAGCACUGGAAACACAACUCUGGCGGCAGAAAGUCCUGGAGGAGGAAACCGAGGCAAAGGAGGAGUUGAUGGUGCUGCUAUAGGCAGCAUUCCAGGUUAGAUUCCAUGUGUUUUGCUCAUAUCUUUUGUUUAUAUGUAAUGAUCCCUUUCUCCCAAUUCAAUCAGUUGAAUAUGUCAUAGGCAGCACACUGUCGGACGUAGAAGUUUGAACCCGUCAGAUAAAGGAGACCCUCACAGGCAAGAGGAUGUUGUCCCUGAUACGUGGAAACUCUUGCCCAGCAAGUAGUUGCUACAUCGCUGACCUAAGGUUUUAUCCCAAUCUAUAGACACCCCUUUCUGUCUGACUUAGCCCUGCCAUUCAUGACAGACACGUUCCUAUAGCCUACUGUGCGCUGUGUCUUGGGACCAUCAUCUCUUGGAUCUGCAUAGCUACUCCCUGUUGCUUUAUACUCUGAUCACCACCUCCUGCUAUCACCUGGCAUUUUCCACUACAUAUCCCAGAAACUUAAGUGCUCCCUCCCCUGCUUAGUAAUUUCGUACCUGUAAACAGGUUGAAAAUAGCAGAUUUGGGCACUAAUAAGAGCCUAAAUUGUAAUGUAGUGGCUAUACAGUAACAUGCUAUAUAUGAUGUCAGAGCUCAGGCUCUGCGAUUCAUAGCUCUGUAUGGGUUUUGACUGACAGUUGUUCUGAACUUGAGCACUGCACGCGGCAA